GUCCCAGUAGCUCAGUAGGAUAGAGCACUCGCCUUCUAAGCGAGUUGUCGGGGGUUCGAAUCCCUCCUGGGACGCCA
RNAcentral lists this transfer RNA (77 nucleotides) under Cohnella fermenti. RNAcentral's name for it is "Cohnella sp. CC-MHH1044 tRNA-Arg". It matches the Rfam family "tRNA". From Rfam's summary of the family: Transfer RNA (tRNA) molecules are approximately 80 nucleotides in length. Their secondary structure includes four short double-helical elements and three loops (D, anti-codon, and T loops). Further hydrogen bonds mediate the characteristic L-shaped molecular structure. tRNAs have two regions of fundamental functional importance: the anti-codon, which is responsible for specific mRNA codon recognition, and the 3' end, to which the tRNAs corresponding amino acid is attached (by aminoacyl-tRNA synthetases). tRNAs cope with the degeneracy of the genetic code in two manners: having more than one tRNA (with a specific anti-codon) for a particular amino acid; and 'wobble' base-pairing, i.e. permitting non-standard base-pairing at the 3rd anti-codon position. Lineage: Bacteria; Bacillati; Bacillota; Bacilli; Caryophanales; Paenibacillaceae. The record is from RNAcentral.